Long non-coding RNA from Cyanistes caeruleus (blue tit), 417 nucleotides. RefSeq lists it as uncharacterized. The record is from RefSeq and is a predicted model, not a curated record. NCBI's taxonomy places the organism in Eukaryota, Metazoa, Chordata, Aves, Passeriformes, Paridae.
GAAACUUAGACCUCAUUCAAGGUGUAGUUUACUCAGAAGUGGUAGUGUCACCACAAUUCACAGGAUCCAGCCGGGAUUCCCUGAGACAUGUGGUCUGCCACCUACAUUGGUAUAUGAAGAUAGGAAUUCUCCACAUCUUUCUUCCUUUUUGAAGAUUUCUGUCUUGUCCUAAGAAGAAGUUACAGAUUGCCAAUGGAUUGAUUGGUUGAAUGUAUUUUUUUCUGUAACCUUAUGAUGUAAUAUUCUUCACUGUGCUGAAGAACUACCAGGGAGAUAAAGAAAAAAUUUAAGCCAAAUUGUCAGUGGGUGUAUCCACCAGAUGGUGAUGUUCUACCAAAUUAUUUGCACAUUGAUCUUGCAGUAAAAAACUUGUCAUUUGAGGGAAUUCUGAUUACUUAAAUUUCAGAUGAGAGUCUU